AUGAAAGUUCAGCUGGUGGGGGGCCCUGGCAACAGCAACGUUUCGCUGUGCGGUGUAGGCUACGGUGGCAGCACCAUUUUAAUUUAUGUGUUUCUACUACUGCCAACAGAGGAGAAGAAUGGCCAGCACCGAGCUACUACUGCUACUGCUUGUUUUUGCUUGCACAGCCAAUUUGGGCGUUACCAGGAACAUGACAAAGCGAGAAAAUUAUGGAGUGAUAGAGAUAAAAGAGUAGUGUGCCUACGUGGUGUGGAUAUGAAACGUGUGGUGUGUGAGAGGAUAAGGAAUGUGUGUUACUAUUCAGUGAUAAAAUAA
Molecule: ribosomal RNA, 315 nt
Filed under: Triticum aestivum (bread wheat)
Lineage: Eukaryota; Viridiplantae; Streptophyta; Magnoliopsida; Poales; Poaceae
Description: partial small subunit ribosomal RNA
Source: RNAcentral